CUACGGGAGGCAGCAGUGGGGAAUAUUGGACAAUGGGCGAAAGCCUGAUCCAGCCAUGCCGCGUGUGUGAAGAAGGCCUUCGGGUUGUAAAGCACUUUCAGUGGGGAAGAAAGCCUUGGGGCUAAUACCCUCGAGGAAGGACAUCACCCACAGAAGAAGCACCGGCUAACUCCGUGCCAGCAGCCGCGGUAAUACGGAGGGUGCGAGCGUUAAUCGGAAUUACUGGGCGUAAAGCGCGCGUAGGCGGUCUGAUAAGCCGGUUGUGAAAGCCCCGGGCUCAACCUGGGAACGGCAUCCGGAACUGUCAGGCUAGAGUGCAGGAGAGGAAGGGAGAAUUCCCGGUGUAGCGGUGAAAUGCGUAGAGAUCGGGAGGAAUACCAGUGGCGAAGGCGGCCUUCUGGACUGACACUGACGCUGAGGUGCGAAAGCGUGGGUAGCAAACAGGAUUAGAUACCCUAGUAGUC
This 464-nucleotide ribosomal RNA is filed under the name Vreelandella stevensii. RNAcentral's name for it is "partial 16S ribosomal RNA". It matches the Rfam family "Bacterial small subunit ribosomal RNA", at positions 339 to 795 of the family's 1533-position model. Lineage: Bacteria; Pseudomonadati; Pseudomonadota; Gammaproteobacteria; Oceanospirillales; Halomonadaceae. The record is from RNAcentral.